GGACUUGAGGGUGGUCUGGCUGUGACAUCUGCAAUGGAUUGCCAGGGUUGAUGCAAUUGAUCUGGCCGGCUAGUCGGAGGUCCCCUUCUUCCCUCAAUCCUGCUUCCCUUCUGAAGCUCCACACUUCAUGGAAGAGGAUAUUUCCUGAUAGAGGAGGAUCAUUAUUUGAUCAAGGGUGUAUAAGUAGGGGUACUCAUCUGCUACGAUCUCCAAACAAGCUCUCAAGUUCCAUUUGUAGAAGAAUGUAGUGGAGCCAAGCUGCCAAGACUCCAAACACAUCUAAAUGAUCCAUUAUAUGUGGCAGCCUACCUUU
Mustela putorius furo (domestic ferret) is the source of this 313-nucleotide unclassified non-coding RNA. Its record names the gene 7SK. It matches the Rfam family "7SK RNA". From Rfam's summary of the family: 7SK was discovered as an abundant small nuclear RNA in the mid-70s but a possible function has only recently been suggested. Two independent studies have found that 7SK RNA binds the CDK9/cyclin T complex (known as elongation factor P-TEFb). The record is from Ensembl. Lineage: Eukaryota; Metazoa; Chordata; Mammalia; Carnivora; Mustelidae.